AGGAUGAACGCUGGCGGCGUGCCUAAAACAUGCAAGUCAUACGGUCUACCUUCGGGUAGACAGUGGCAAACGGGUGAGUAACACGUGGGAACACGCCUUCGAGUGGGGAAUAACGCUGAGAAAUCAGUGCUAAUACCGCAUAUGGUCUAACGACUAAAGCAGUAAUGCGCUCGGAGAGUGGCCCGCGUCCGAUUAGCUAGUUGGUGGGGUAAUGGCCUACCAAGGCGGUGAUCGGUAGCUGGUCUGAGAGGAUGGUCAGCCACACUGGGACUGCGAACGGCCCAGACUCCUACGGGAGGCAGCAGUUAGGAAUUUUCGGCAAUGGACGAAAGUCUGACCGAGCGACGCCGCGUGGAGGACGAAGCCUUUCGGGGUGUAAACUCCUUUUCUGCGGGAAGAUAAUGACGGUACCGGCAGGAAUAAGCACCGGCUAACUACGCGCCAGCAGCCGC
Molecule: ribosomal RNA, 452 nt
Filed under: uncultured bacterium
Lineage: Bacteria
Description: SSU rRNA
Rfam family: Bacterial small subunit ribosomal RNA
Source: RNAcentral